RNAcentral lists this ribosomal RNA (497 nucleotides) under uncultured bacterium. Its description in RNAcentral is "partial 16S ribosomal RNA". It matches the Rfam family "Bacterial small subunit ribosomal RNA", at positions 28 to 507 of the family's 1533-position model. The record is from RNAcentral.
GAUGAACGCUGGCGGCGUGCCUAAUACAUGCAAGUCGAGCGAACAGACGAGGAGCUUGCUCUUCUGACGUUAGCGGCGGACGGGUGAGUAACACGUGGAUAACCUACCUAUAAGACUGGGAUAACUUCGGGAAACCGGAGCUAAUACCGGAUAAUAUAUUGAACCGCAUGGUUCAAUAGUGAAAGACGGUUUUGCUGUCACUUAUAGAUGGAUCCGCGCCGCAUUAGCUAGUUGGUAAGGUAACGGCUUACCAAGGCAGCGAUGCGUAGCCGACCUGAGAGGGUGAUCGGCCACACUGGAACUGAGACACGGUCCAGACUCCUACGGGAGGCAGCAGUAGGGAAUCUUCCGCAAUGGGCGAAAGCCUGACGGAGCAACGCCGCGUGAGUGAUGAAGGUCUUCGGAUCGUAAAACUCUGUUAUUAGGGAAGAACAAAUGUGUAAGUAACUAUGCACGUCUUGACGGUACCUAAUCAGAAAGCCACGGCUAACUACGUG